Molecule: ribosomal RNA, 253 nt
Filed under: uncultured bacterium
Lineage: Bacteria
Description: partial 16S ribosomal RNA
Rfam family: Bacterial small subunit ribosomal RNA
Source: RNAcentral
UACGUAGGUGGCAAGCGUUGUCCGGAUUUACUGGGCGUAAAGAGCGCGCAGGCGGUCGUUCAAGUCGCGUGUGAAAGCCCCCGGCUCAACUGGGGAGGGUCACGCGAUACUGAUCGACUGGAAGGCAGGAGAGGGUAGUGGAAUUCCCGGUGUAGUGGUGAAAUGCGUAGAUAUUGGGAGGAACACCAGUGGCGAAGGCGGCUCGCUGGACCGGAACUGACGCUGAGGCGCGAAAGCGUGGGGAGCAAACAGG